UACGUAGGGUGCGAGCGUUGUCCGGAAUUAUUGGGCGUAAAGGGCUCGUAGGCGGUCUGUUGCGUCAGGAGUGAAAACUCUGGGCUUAACUCAGAGCCUGCAUUCAAAACUGAUGGGCUGGAGUUCUGGAGGGGAUAGCGGAAUUCCUGGUGUAGCGGUGAAAUGCGUAGAUAUCAGGAGGAACACCGGUGGCGAAGGCGGCUAUCUGGACAGAAACUGACGCUGAGGCGCGAAAGCUAGGGGAGCAAACAGG
This 253-nucleotide ribosomal RNA is filed under the name uncultured bacterium. Its description in RNAcentral is "partial 16S ribosomal RNA". It matches the Rfam family "Bacterial small subunit ribosomal RNA", at positions 524 to 776 of the family's 1533-position model. The record is from RNAcentral.